GACGAACGCUGGCGGCGUGCUUAACACAUGCAAGUCGAACGGAAAGGCCCUGCUUUUGUGGGGUGCUCGAGUGGCGAACGGGUGAGUAACACGUGAGUAACCUGCCCUUGACUUUGGGAUAACUUCAGGAAACUGGGGCUAAUACCGGAUAGGAGCUCCUGCUGCAUGGUGGGGGUUGGAAAGUUUCGGCGGUUGGGGAUGGACUCGCGGCUUAUCAGCUUGUUGGUGGGGUAGUGGCUUACCAAGGCUUUGACGGGUAGCCGGCCUGAGAGGGUGACCGGCCAAAUGGGAACUGGGAUACGGCCCAGCCUCCUACGGGAGGCGGCGGUGGGUAUUAUUGCACAAGGGGGGAAGGCUUGAGGAGGCAACCCGCGUGCGGGAUGACGGCCUUCGGGUUGUAAACCGCUUUCGCCUGUGACGAAGCGUGAGUGACGGUAAUGGGUAAAGAAGCACCGGCUAACUACGUG
This 467-nucleotide ribosomal RNA is filed under the name uncultured bacterium. RNAcentral describes it as "partial 16S ribosomal RNA". It matches the Rfam family "Bacterial small subunit ribosomal RNA", at positions 28 to 507 of the family's 1533-position model. The record is from RNAcentral.